CACUUGAGUACCUGGUCAAUAUAAUGGACAAUCUGUGGUCACACACGAUAACUGAAUUUUGUUAGUCACACGUGAUAUCCCAAUUGGUCCAAGGGAGGGGCGCUGCAUCGUUCGUGGGGGACGACAUUUUUACUGUUGCCUUGUUUUUGUGUGUAAGUGCAUGUAUCAUUUUGAGUGUACGUGUGUGUGGGUUGCAAACAUUUCUAUUGGAUCGUGACAAUACCGAUCCACAUUUUCUGUGCAAAGCACACAUUUCUGCCAAGCCUACGGAAUGAGAGGAUAUUCACAGUGUUACUGGUGUGAUAUGUUAUCUUGACAAGGGGCAACAUGAAAGCUCAUCCGGUGGGUGAGUGGGUUGGUAGUUCUUCUGGAUGUACUAUAGCAACCUCCAUGCUUCCCACAACUUCCUUCCUCCAUAAUGCAGUGUUCCGCCUCACAUGGCCGGGGGUUGGUCCCUGUCUGAUCCUUUUCCAGGCCUUGCAGCCAAAUGUCUAUGAGGAUGAAGAAGACGCCGAUGCAGAAAGCAUUAUCUUCCACACUCCCACAUUAACAAUGAUAAAUUCCUUACAUAAACCAUGAUUCACACGUCUGUGUGUGUGUGUGUGUGUGUGUGUGUGUGUGUGUGUGUGUGUGUGUGUGUGUGUGUGUGUGUGUGUGUUGAGAGCGAAAAAGAAAGAAAGAAAAAAAAAGAAAAAGAAAGAUGAAAAAAAGAAAAGAAAAAAAGAAAGGACAAAAGAAAGGGAGUGAGUAUAUAUAUAUGAGAGUGUGUCUGGCUGACCUCCUGUGACUAAUCUCUGUUCUGUCUGUCUCACACCUGUCUCUUCCCACAGGGAAGGAAGGUAAUACUUCCCUCAGAGUUACUAAUACACUUUCACUCCACCUAUCAGAGGAGAAGGGGGAGAGGAGGAGAGAGAGAAUGGGGAAAAAAGAGAGAAAAAGAUGGAAGUGAUAUUGAGGAAGAAAGAGAUAGAGAUAAGGAGGGAGAACGAGAAAGAGUGACUGAGGGAAAUGGAGGUGGAAAGAGAGGGGGAGGGUAGAAAGCAAAGAAGAGAGAAACAGCUUUUGGCUAGUGUUGUGUGCAUGUUGCAUGUCACAGUGCUGGUCGUCACCUGCAGCCAGAGUUCAGGGGUAAUGGGGGCUGUCGCACACACACAACUAGUUCUAUCCUGUGCCCUGUGGUCCAAUCAUCAAUAGCUGUAGUUAUGUUUGGGUCACACAGGAGGUCACAACCUCUCACUUGCCAGUGAACUCAGCAGGGAGGGGGAAUGAUAAAUACUGUACUGUGUGUGUGUAUGUGUGUGUGUGGGUGUGUGUGUGUGUGUGUGUGUGUGUGUGUGUGUGUG
Oncorhynchus tshawytscha (Chinook salmon) is the source of this 1343-nucleotide long non-coding RNA. NCBI's taxonomy places the organism in Eukaryota, Metazoa, Chordata, Actinopteri, Salmoniformes, Salmonidae. The record is from Ensembl.